GACUCAACGAACUGCAUGGUGUUGUGA
This 27-nucleotide non-coding RNA is filed under the name Bombyx mori (domestic silkworm). The record is from RNAcentral. Lineage: Eukaryota; Metazoa; Arthropoda; Insecta; Lepidoptera; Bombycidae.